GAAGUAAACAAACUCAACAAAAAUAACACACAAUGACAUAGGGGUAUGGGUAAGUAAAAUGGGGGAGCCUAUGAAGAAUAGUGAAAUAGGCCCAAGUAAGUUAUAAACAAGUCCAAAAUUGCAGGCCACUUUCCUUUAUUCUCUCAAACAAACAAAAUCGUAAUUAAAGCUAAAACCCUCCUUCAUGGCAGCCCCUUCUUUUCGACACCAACACAACUCCAACCCCUGAAACAUGCGUUCACCUCUUAGCCACCACCAACGACCUCUGCUGGAGGCUUCACCGGCGACACUAUCGCCCUUCACUCCACCUCGCGCCUGCACUAGUGUCUCCUCCUUCGCUUCUCCAGCGCGUUCAAGACAGGGUUGGGCCGAUCCGCUUCAUGGCCGCGAGGUCCCGCUUGCCAGAGAUCGCCGUCAGCGGUUACAACCGUCGGCGGCGCCCAUUCAUCUCCAAUCCUCGAUCCUUUUCUUCUACGAGAGAGAAAGGUGCCAUAGACUCUACGACUCGUCACCAUUGUGUCGGUCUCCGCGAUUGGGUGGAACGUGUGGGCGAAGGUGAUGAUACCCGUUGGUGACCGUAUGGGAUGGGCUAGUUUUGGAUGAGUGGAGUGGAGGAAACCGAGAACGGAAAUGGUAGUUACGUGUUGGCUGCAUAUAAUUGAACAAGGAAGAAGAUGUGGGUGUAGCGUGGUUAUGUUAAAGAGAGGUGAAGUGGUUCUCUAUUUUUAAUUAUUUUGUGCACAGGUUGGAUAAAUGGAAGAUGAAGAAGAUUAUGAUGGUCAUGAUGAUUGUACGAGAACGGUGAUGAGUGCACGAUGAUGCUCGCGAUUUUGAUGGAGCAUAUUUCGUUUCCCAAACUCAAACAACAACAAAGAGCACAAUAUAUUUGACUCAAGCAACAACAGACAACACAUCAAACCCAACACACGAACACAUUAUGCUCACACAAACGUUCAUUUAUUCAAGAUUGGGGUGCUUACCUCUUGCAACUGCUUAUCCCAUUAUCACUCCUUUCCUCUCGUUCUAGUUCUUCCUUCAGUUGGGUCCGAGGGUGCUGAUAGCUUAGAAAAUUCCCUGUCUCUUCUUUUUCCUUGAUGGCUAUGAAACCCCCUUUUUCUUUUCACAUGACUCUGUUGUUAUUUCCGAGCCCGUUUCCCCUUUCGUUCAUACUUUGCACGAACAGUCUAAGAUGACCAAAAGCACAAGGCAGGAUGCUUCCCAACCGCCCUAUUAGUGCUAUGACUGCCACAAUGAUACACAAAGAUACCCAACAUUUCUGUUUGUGUACUAAGACGUAGAGAUGGAGUAAAAUAUGAAAAUUUGAACAUUUUUCUUGCAUGGGGAGGGAAGGGUCAGCAAGCAGAGAAUUUACGUUGAUUUCCACUUCCCAACUUAUCACUUCAUUUUUAUU
This is a long non-coding RNA of Vigna unguiculata (cowpea), 1411 nucleotides long. RefSeq lists it as uncharacterized. The record is from RefSeq and is a predicted model, not a curated record. NCBI's taxonomy places the organism in Eukaryota, Viridiplantae, Streptophyta, Magnoliopsida, Fabales, Fabaceae.